AGGGGCUAAACUGGCUCACAUUGCAGCUGC
RNAcentral lists this non-coding RNA (30 nucleotides) under Homo sapiens (human). Lineage: Eukaryota; Metazoa; Chordata; Mammalia; Primates; Hominidae. The record is from RNAcentral.